AGAAAAUUGAGGUUCUGAACAACUUGAAGAACCUUUAAUUUUUUUAAACAAUAAACAUGGAGAGGCUGAAAAGAAGUUUAGCCAGUUUUAUAUUGAUUUAUAUUUAUAUGGCAAUAUUUAUAUAGUGAUUUUUAAUCAUUAAUGCCAUUUGACUGCUGUACAUAUUUUUUAUUUUUCUCUCAUCAUAAAAUAAAUGAAUAAACAGUUUUUAUAUAUUUAUUUUAAGGUGUGUAUGUAUAUUCUUGACCCCUGAAAACAACAAAAACAGUUUGUGUUAGUACAAGUAGUUUGUGUUGGUCCUGAUGGAAGUAACAGCUGCUGAAACUGCCACGUUCCUCCAGUGGACUUCUGAAGAAGGAAGAAAAGAAUAAGGAGGAUCUUGUGGAAUGAUUUGAUAGACACUGAGGUGAGAAGAAAGAGGAUAGAGACAAUUACGAGUAAUACACAGAACCUUUCAAAAAGUAAUUUUGUCAACUGUUGUAAUGAUCAACUAUUAUUGUUGUUCCAAACAUUACUUAAAUUACUCUGAAAACAUUUUUGGCCUGCAUGGAAGAAAAUUAGCUAAA
This is a long non-coding RNA of Cyprinus carpio carpio, 566 nucleotides long. NCBI's taxonomy places the organism in Eukaryota, Metazoa, Chordata, Actinopteri, Cypriniformes, Cyprinidae. The record is from Ensembl.